RNAcentral lists this ribosomal RNA (505 nucleotides) under uncultured bacterium. RNAcentral's name for it is "partial 16S ribosomal RNA". It matches the Rfam family "Bacterial small subunit ribosomal RNA", at positions 28 to 507 of the family's 1533-position model. The record is from RNAcentral.
GACGAACGCUGGCGGCGUGCCUAAUACAUGCAAGUAGAACGCACAGUUUAUACCGUAGCUUGCUACACCAUAAACUGUGAGUUGCGAACGGGUGAGUAACGCGUAGGUAACCUGCCUGGUAGCGGGGGAUAACUAUUGGAAACGAUAGCUAAUACCGCAUAAUAUUGAUUAUUGCAUGAUAAUUGAUUGAAAGAUGCUAUUGCAUCACUACCAGAUGGACCUGCGUUGUAUUAGCUAGUAGGUGAGGUAACGGCUCACCUAGGCGACGAUACAUAGCCGACCUGAGAGGGUGAUCGGCCACACUGGGACUGAGACACGGGCCAGACUCCUACGGGAGGCAGCAGUAGGGAAUCUUCGGCAAUGGACGGAAGUCUGACCGAGCAACGCCGCGUGAGUGAAGAAGGUUUUCGGAUCGUAAAGCUCUGUUGUAAGAGAAGAACGGGUGUGAGAGUGGAAAGUUCACACUGUGACGGUAUCUUACCAGAAAGAGACGGCUAACUACGUG